UACGUAGGUCCCGAGCGUUGUCCGGAUUUAUUGGGCGUAAAGCGAGCGCAGGUGGUUUAUUAAGUCUGGUGUAAAAGGCAGUGGCUCAACCAUUGUAUGCAUUGGAAACUGGUAGACUUGAGUGUAGGAGAGGAGAGUGGAAUUCCAUGUGUAGCGGUGAAAUGCGUAGAUAUAUGGAGGAACACCGGUGGCGAAAGCGGCUCUCUGGCCUGUAACUGACACUGAGGCUCGAAAGCGUGGGGAGCAAAUAGG
Molecule: ribosomal RNA, 252 nt
Filed under: uncultured bacterium
Lineage: Bacteria
Description: partial 16S ribosomal RNA
Rfam family: Bacterial small subunit ribosomal RNA
Source: RNAcentral